RNAcentral lists this transfer RNA (84 nucleotides) under Chloroflexota bacterium. RNAcentral's name for it is "Chloroflexi bacterium (anaerobic digester metagenome) tRNA-Leu". It matches the Rfam family "tRNA". Rfam says of the family: Transfer RNA (tRNA) molecules are approximately 80 nucleotides in length. Lineage: Bacteria; Bacillati; Chloroflexota. The record is from RNAcentral.
GCCGAGGUGGCGGAACCGGCAGACGCGCUACGUUCAGGGCGUAGUGGGCAAUAGCCCAUGAGGGUUCAAAUCCCUCCCUCGGCA